AGAUUAAGCCAUGCAUGUCUCAGUGCAANCCGUCUAGUACGGUGAAGCCGCGAAAGGCUCAUUAAAUCAGUUAUGGUUCCUUAGAUCGUACCCACGUUACUUGGAUAACUGYGGUAAUUCUAGAGCUAAUACAUGCCGACAGAGUUCCGACCAACUGUUCGGCUCUCACGYUGAAUGGUUCGGAAGGAACGCUUUUAUUAGAUCAAAACCGGCCAAACGRCGGANUNACGYNUCGCGCGUGNUUCCGUCGUUAGCGGCCCGCGCAAAGACUUGGUGACUCUGAAUAACUUCGAGCUGAUCGCACGGUCUUCGUACCGGCGACGUAUCUUUCAAAUGUCUGCCUUAUCAACUGUCGACGGUAGGUUCGACGCCUACCGUGGUGGUAACGGGUAACGGGGAAUCAGGGUUCGAUUCCGGAGAGGGAGCCUGAGAAACGGCUACCACAUCCAAGGAAGGCAGCAGGCGCGCAAAUUACCCACUCCCAGCUCGGGGAGGUAGUGACGAAAAAUAACGAUACGGGACUCAUUCGAGGCCCCGUAAUCGGAAUGAGUACACUUUAAAACCUUGGUCACACGAGGAUCAAU
This 584-nucleotide ribosomal RNA is filed under the name Ehrhornia cupressi. RNAcentral's name for it is "bacterial SSU rRNA". It matches the Rfam family "Eukaryotic small subunit ribosomal RNA", at positions 41 to 550 of the family's 1831-position model. The record is from RNAcentral. Lineage: Eukaryota; Metazoa; Arthropoda; Insecta; Hemiptera; Pseudococcidae.